CAAGAACAAAUUAUUCGCCAGUAAAGCACUCUAAUAUCACCACGUCCUUCUUCCUUAUUUCUCCUUUCUUCACAAAAUGUACACAGGCAGUAAAGCAAAGAGAGUCAACAUUUCUAUUUCACUAAUAAUUAUCUUUACUCACUCUCAAUAGGGUAUGAGAUUAUAACUCUAUUUUAUAAAGUGGCUGAUCACAAAGAUCUCAAGAAUGUGGCCAAAGCCCCUAAUAUGUACCCAUUUAUUCCCCAAUAGUAUCGCAUUCCAGGAACAGCUCUGCAUUGCCUAUAUUCUCUUCAAGUAGAAUUGUUAUCUUAAAAUAACCCUGUUCUGUACAUUUAGGGGAGAAAAUCAGUAACAGGAUGUUAUUCAGGAUAAAAUAAGUUAAUAAAACAAUUAUAACCCAA
This 401-nucleotide long non-coding RNA is filed under the name Lynx pardinus (Iberian lynx). The record is from RNAcentral. Lineage: Eukaryota; Metazoa; Chordata; Mammalia; Carnivora; Felidae.